RNAcentral lists this ribosomal RNA (465 nucleotides) under Vreelandella stevensii. RNAcentral describes it as "partial 16S ribosomal RNA". It matches the Rfam family "Bacterial small subunit ribosomal RNA", at positions 338 to 795 of the family's 1533-position model. The record is from RNAcentral. Lineage: Bacteria; Pseudomonadati; Pseudomonadota; Gammaproteobacteria; Oceanospirillales; Halomonadaceae.
CCUACGGGUGGCAGCAGUGGGGAAUAUUGGACAAUGGGCGAAAGCCUGAUCCAGCCAUGCCGCGUGUGUGAAGAAGGCCUUCGGGUUGUAAAGUACUUUCAGUGGGGAAGAAAGCCUUGGGGCUAAUACCCUCGAGGAAGGACAUCACCCACAGAAGAAGCACCGGCUAACUCCGUGCCAGCAGCCGCGGUAAUACGGAGGGUGCGAGCGUUAAUCGGAAUUACUGGGCGUAAAGCGCGCGUAGGCGGUCUGAUAAGCCGGUUGUGAAAGCCCCGGGCUCAACCUGGGAACGGCAUCCGGAACUGUCAGGCUAGAGUGCAGGAGAGGAAGGUAGAAUUCCCGGUGUAGCGGUGAAAUGCGUAGAGAUCGGGAGGAAUACCAGUGGCGAAGGCGGCCUUCUGGACUGACACUGACGCUGAGGUGCGAAAGCGUGGGUAGCAAACAGGAUUAGAUACCCGUGUAGUC